CUUCCUGGGGUGGGGCACACGGCAGACGCAACUAUCUGCAGCCUCACCGCAUCAAUCCUUUCAUAACUCUUUCUUCUUCAUCCUGGUGAUUUCAGGAAACUUCACAAAAAAACUUCACACUGUCCGCUGUUCCGAUCGAACAAUGAUGUCGGAGGCACAGAAAAGCAGAGAGGCUGGUUUCAGGAGGAUUCCAGGACUCUCCCUUCUCUUCAUCCUGCUCUGCUUCCUUUGCUCUGCAAAUGCAACCAAAGUUUCACUGGAAACAGUGAAGAAGUCUCAUCAGAUAGCGACAGAAAGACUGAAAACAUUGAAGGCUUGGUACCAGGAGAUAAUGGCAGCUUAUGAAGAAGUGAUGGCUUUCUACCAAACAUUUUGGGAUGAAGUGAUGUGGACGGAGGGCGAUGCAUUUGCUGACUCUCCUUCAUAUGACUGGUAUCAGAAGAACACGGAGCAGAUAAAGUUUUUAGAUAAGUACACCGAGAAUAUAAGAAUUGGAAUGAAUGCACAGGAAAAGAAACUGGAAGAACAGGAUAUUAUCAUUAAAUGCCUUGAGAGUCACCGCCAUGAUGAACUUUGAGUCCAGUUAGAAAGUAUUAGUAUGAGCAGCAGCACGUCUGUUUAGUUUCUUUGUCGUAUUGCUAAAUGUCUUCAUAUUUCUUGAGGUGGUGUCAUGAUUUUAGUUCAAUUUCAAGUUUCUUGUAUUGGAACUUAUGCCAAACUAGUUAAAAUUGCAUGUGCUUUUAUAUUUUUUUUUCUUUGCAAGCUCAGUGUCUUUGUGAUGAAUAUUAUCAAGAUAUCAGUUUUCUGAAAGAUCUAAAAAUUCUUUUGCAUUAUUUGAGGUAAUUGUAAAUAUUAACUGCUGAUGCACAGACUGAGGGUUGCUUCCUGCUUUGAAACAGACAGCUUGAGGAAAACGACACCCACGAUUACAUCUUCCGUUACAAUAAUGACUGCAGUCAUGUGAGGCUACUGACAGACGUGGAACAUAAAGCUGCUGAGCUGGAUUCUGUCUCUGAUUCUUUAUUUCUGUAUUAAAGAUUUACAUUCAUUUUGCUGCAUUUACUACUGAUCUGUAAAUUUGUUUGCUUUUUUUGUUCUCAAUCAGUUUGAAAAAUAAAGA
Long non-coding RNA from Salarias fasciatus (jewelled blenny), 1120 nucleotides. RefSeq lists it as uncharacterized. NCBI's taxonomy places the organism in Eukaryota, Metazoa, Chordata, Actinopteri, Blenniiformes, Blenniidae. The record is from RefSeq and is a predicted model, not a curated record. The transcript has 4 exons.